AUCACUUCCUCACCUUUUGAUUUAAGAUCAGAUGUAGUAUACCUGUUCUUAUCGGUUUAGUAGCUGAUAUAUCCUCUAUUCAAGGCCAAUAUAUUAAAUGGAUUUUUUGGAGCGCAGAGAUGGACUAGGAACUUGCUCUGUCCUCUCCAUGCAUGGACCUGGUAUUAUUGUACCUCCAGGAACAGUGCACACACC
RNAcentral lists this small nuclear RNA (195 nucleotides) under Castor canadensis (American beaver). Its description in RNAcentral is "U2 spliceosomal RNA (ENSCCNG00000009354.1)". It matches the Rfam family "U2 spliceosomal RNA". Rfam says of the family: U2 is a small nuclear RNA (snRNA) component of the spliceosome (involved in pre-mRNA splicing). The record is from Rfam by way of RNAcentral. Lineage: Eukaryota; Metazoa; Chordata; Mammalia; Rodentia; Castoridae.